This 393-nucleotide ribosomal RNA is filed under the name bacterium enrichment culture. Its description in RNAcentral is "bacterial SSU rRNA". It matches the Rfam family "Bacterial small subunit ribosomal RNA", at positions 521 to 916 of the family's 1533-position model. The record is from RNAcentral.
UAAUACGGAGGGUGCAAGCGUUAAUCGGAAUCACUGGGCGUAAAGCGCGCGUAGGCGGUCUUUUAAGUCGGACGUGAAAGCCCUCGGCUCAACCGGGGAAUUGCGUUCGAAACUGGGAGACUUGAGUCCUGGAGAGGGUGGCGGAAUUCCGGGUGUAGGAGUGAAAUCCGUAGAUAUCCGGAGGAACACCGGUGGCGAAGGCGGCCACCUGGACAGGUACUGACGCUGAGGCGCGAAAGCGUGGGGAGCAAACAGGAUUAGAUACCCUGGUAGUCCACGCUGUAAACGAUGGAUGCUAGGUGUCGGGGAGCGAUCUUCGGUGCCGCAGUUAACGCAUUAAGCAUCCCGCCUGGGGAGUACGGUCGCAAGGCUGAAACUCAAAUGAAUUGACGG